UAGUAACGGCGAGUGAAGCGGCAACAGCUCAAAUUUGAAAUCUGGCUCUCGGGCCCGAGUUGUAAUUUGUAGAGGAUACUUUUGAUGCGGUGCCUUCCGAGUUCCCUGGAACGGGACGCCAUAGAGGGUGAGAGCCCCGUCUGGUUGGAUGCCAAAUCUCUGUAAAGUUCCUUCAACGAGUCGAGUAGUUUGGGAAUGCUGCUCUAAAUGGGAGGUAUAUGUCUUCUAAAGCUAAAUACCGGCCAGAGACCGAUAGCGCACAAGUAGAGUGAUCGAAAGAUGAAAAGCACUUUGAAAAGAGAGUUAAAAAGUACGUGAAAUUGUUGAAAGGGAAGCGUUUAUGACCAGACUUGGGCUUGGUUAAUCAUCUGGGGUUCUCCCCAGUGCACUUUUCCAGUCCAGGCCAGCAUCAGUUUUCCCCGGGGGAUAAAGGCGGCGGGAAUGUGGCUCUCUUCGGGGAGUGUUAUAGCCCACCGUGUAAUACCCUGGGGGGGACUGAGGUUCGCGCAUCUGCAAGGAUGCUGGCGUAAUGGUCAUCAACGACCCGUCUUGAAACACGGACCAAGGAGUCGUCUUCGUAUGCGAGUGUUCGGGUGUCAAACCCCUACGCGUAAUGAAAGUGAACGCAGGUGAGAGCUUCGGCGCAUCAUCGACCGAUCCUGAUGUUCUCGGAUGG
RNAcentral lists this ribosomal RNA (676 nucleotides) under Fusarium oxysporum. RNAcentral's name for it is "partial large subunit ribosomal RNA". It matches the Rfam family "Eukaryotic large subunit ribosomal RNA", at positions 81 to 787 of the family's 3401-position model. The record is from RNAcentral. Lineage: Eukaryota; Fungi; Ascomycota; Sordariomycetes; Hypocreales; Nectriaceae.